This is a long non-coding RNA of Gadus macrocephalus (Pacific cod), 508 nucleotides long. RefSeq lists it as uncharacterized. The record is from RefSeq and is a predicted model, not a curated record. NCBI's taxonomy places the organism in Eukaryota, Metazoa, Chordata, Actinopteri, Gadiformes, Gadidae. The transcript is spliced from 4 exons.
CGGGCGUUCCCGUCAUGACACAAAAACGCCCAUCAGGCGUUCCUGUAGCGUUUCAUCGAUCAAUCAAGAAGAGUACCCUGGCACAUGCUUUGUCCAAUGGACCAUGGAAGGGACUUUACUUGGCUGACGAGGACGCACCUCACCAGUAUCAGAGCAACAGCUGUGGGGUGUUUAUGCUGAUGUACGCAAUGUAUUCUACCCUCAAAAGCAAUAUGAUUUCAGUGAGGUGAGUUCUUUCAAAUCUCAAUCAGAUGUGUAGCAUGAAAUAUAAGGCUUUUAAUAAUUUAGUCAUCCUUACUGGAGGCUACAAUUAACAUGCAUCAUAGGUCAUACACAUUACUUUGUCUUCAGGUACUGCACUUACGGGAGGAGAUGGCUACAUCUUCACAAUAAUUUACACUGCCAUAGUACACUGCUAAACAGUACUGUAACAUGGAUUUGUAUCAGGCUAUGAAGUCAUUUAAAGCAUAACUUUACUUUUCAGGGGGACAUGCUCUCUAUCAGGAGG